AAUAGAUACCCCGGUAGUCCACGCCGUAAACGAUGAAUACUAGGUGUAGGAGGUAUCGACUCCUUCUGUGCCGCAGUUAACACAAUAAGUAUUCCGCCUGGGGAGUACGAUCGCAAGAUUAAAACUCAAAGGAAUUGACGGGGGGCCCGCACAAGCAGCGGAGCAUUGUGGUUUAAUUCGAAGCAACGACGAACGUAACCUUACCUAGUACUUGACAUCCCCUGAAUAACCCAGAGAUGGGCGAAGUCCGUUCGGGACGACGGGAGACGAGGUAGGUGCAGUGGUUGUCGUCAGCGUCGUGUCGUGAGAUGUUGGGUUAGUCCGCAACGAGCGCAACCCUUACUUAGUUAGUUGCUACCUAUUAAGUUAGUAGCACUACUAGACGAAGACUCGCCCGGGGUUAACCGGGGAGGAAGGGUAGGGGUAGUAGGACGGU
Molecule: ribosomal RNA, 436 nt
Filed under: uncultured bacterium
Lineage: Bacteria
Description: bacterial SSU rRNA
Rfam family: Bacterial small subunit ribosomal RNA
Source: RNAcentral